Molecule: long non-coding RNA, 1050 nt
Organism: Triticum aestivum (bread wheat)
Lineage: Eukaryota; Viridiplantae; Streptophyta; Magnoliopsida; Poales; Poaceae
Exons: 2
Source: RefSeq, a predicted model, not a curated record
UUCAGGCAUCUUCUACUCCAUCCGCUUAGCUCUCUUUCUCCUCUGCUCCAUCCCCACCUACCUCCUGCGCUCAAUAGCCAUGGAUGAGCUCCACCUUUUCCAUCGCCUCUCAAGGCGACCCCCAUCCCCUCCCCCACAGCACCAUCCUACUUCCAAUCAGGGGCGUAGCGCCGCUGCUGCAGCCUAGAGGCCUUUGGCAACGCGAACGUCAACGUCCUGCGGCAUGCCGGAACCGGUGAAGCCACCGUGCUACAACCGAUGAGGUGCCGUGCUUCCAUGGCGUCACCACGCCAACCGGUGUGCUGCAACCGUGUUCAGCACGAGCUGGAACAGGACGACGUGGAUGUUGCGACCGCGAUCACCACGGCCGCAUGCUGGGAACCGGCAUGGCAAGGAGCUGGAACCGGCACCGGCUUUGUGCUUUUGCUGGAACCGGCAUGUUAUUUUGCUGGAAGUAGCUUGAUUUUUUGCUACAAUCGACUCUGGAGCUUUUCCUUGCUAAAUUUGCUUUUGCUGGAACCGGCGCAUAUUUUUGCUGGAAGCUAGUAUUUUUUUGCUACAACCAUUGAAGCUUUUUUUGCUGGAACCGGGGCAGCAAAAAGCUACAUCCAGCACUGCCGGCGAUGGAGACGACGUCCUGCGGUGCUACAUCCAGGGCUCGCCGGCCACCACGGUGAUCGAGAUGUUACGACGGUGAGAUCGGACCGACGAGCUGCGGCAUCAAGCGUGAGCGGCGACGAGCACGAUGGCGAGCUAUGGCCCUCGCCAUUGAAGCUGCAAUCGUCGCCACCGGAGCUACAACCACGGGUGCCGAUGUUACAUGCGUGGAGCUGGCCACCGGCGGCGACGGCGACGGCGAUCAUCGGCGACGGUGACGACCAACGGCGAGGGGCGGCGACCGGCGAUGACCAUCGGCGGGGGGCCGCGACCGGUGGUGAUUUUGAAGUUGGUCGCGCUCGCUCAUCCAUGGCAGCGGUGCCCGCUGCUCCUUUUUUCCGCUGUGCUCGCGAGAUUCAUUUUUUUUAAGAAAGGAACUGCACGAGAGCCCAA